GACGAACGCUGGCGGCGUGCUUAACACAUGCAAGUCGAACGGAAAGGCCUCUUUCGGGGGGUACUCGAGUGGCGAACGGGUGAGUAACACGUGAGUAACCUGCCCUUGACUUUGGGAUAACUUCAGGAAACUGGGGCUAAUACCGGAUAGGAGCUCCUGCUGCAUGGUGGGGGUUGGAAAGUUUCGGCGGUUGGGGAUGGACUCGCGGCUUAUCAGCUUGUUGGUGGGGUAGUGGCUUACCAAGGCUUUGGCGGGUAGCCGGCCUGAGAGGGUGACCGGCCACAUUGGGACUGCGGUACGGCCCAGAAUCCUACGGGAGGCAGCGGUGGGGAAUAUUGCACAAUGGGGGGAAGCCUGAUGCAGCAACGCCGCGUGCGGGAUGACGGCCUUCGGGUUGUAAACCGCUUUCGCCUGUGACGAAGCGUGAGUGACGGUAAUGGGUAAAGAAGCACCAGCUAACUACGUG
RNAcentral lists this ribosomal RNA (466 nucleotides) under uncultured bacterium. RNAcentral describes it as "partial 16S ribosomal RNA". It matches the Rfam family "Bacterial small subunit ribosomal RNA", at positions 28 to 507 of the family's 1533-position model. The record is from RNAcentral.